UCCUUCGUAGCUCAGAUGGUAAAGAAUCUGCUUUCAAUGCAGGAGACCCAGGUUUGAACCCUGGUCAGGAAG
Molecule: transfer RNA, 72 nt
Filed under: Ovis aries (sheep)
Lineage: Eukaryota; Metazoa; Chordata; Mammalia; Artiodactyla; Bovidae
Rfam family: tRNA
About the family: Transfer RNA (tRNA) molecules are approximately 80 nucleotides in length. Their secondary structure includes four short double-helical elements and three loops (D, anti-codon, and T loops).
Source: Rfam by way of RNAcentral